RNAcentral lists this ribosomal RNA (253 nucleotides) under uncultured bacterium. RNAcentral's name for it is "partial 16S ribosomal RNA". It matches the Rfam family "Bacterial small subunit ribosomal RNA", at positions 524 to 776 of the family's 1533-position model. The record is from RNAcentral.
UACGAAGGGGGCUAGCGUUGUUCGGAAUUACUGGGCGUAAAGCGCGCGCAGGCGGCUAUCCAAGUCAGUGGUGAAAGCCCGGAGCUCAACUCCGGAACUGCCAUUGAAACUGUUUAGCUUGAGGACGAGAGAGGUGAGUGGAAUUCCCAGUGUAGAGGUGAAAUUCGUAGAUAUUGGGAAGAACACCGGUGGCGAAGGCGGCUCUCUGGACCGGAUCUGACGCUGAGGCGCGAAAGCGUGGGGAGCAAACAGG